RNAcentral lists this long non-coding RNA (2800 nucleotides) under Mus musculus (house mouse). RNAcentral's name for it is "long non-coding RNA chr7:59308034-59310834". The record is from RNAcentral. Lineage: Eukaryota; Metazoa; Chordata; Mammalia; Rodentia; Muridae.
AAAAUUCUUACUCUUGUAUCUCCUAGUUAUUUCUUGUUACUUCCUUUAGAACUGUCAAUUUUUUGGCCUGGGGAGAUGGCUUAGUGGGUAAAGGUGCUCACUAUAUAAAACUUGACCUGAAGACUCUGCCUAGACUCCACAUAAACAUGGAAGGAAAGAGCAACUCCACAAAGUUGUUUCCUGGCCUUUCCAUGUUUACCAUAGCUUUUGCUGUUUCCUACCCUCUCACAGUUUAUGUGCAUAUAUAUGCAUGUUGUCAGUUAUUGUCUCUCAGACCUAUUUAAUUGUACUUUAUUUCAGGCCCCAAUCCUUUGAUUUACUCAGGUUAUCUUCCUGACUCUGAACUACUUCUAAUUCUUUUCAUUCUCAAAAAGCAUUUUUUUUUCUGAUUUGUAUGAGUACUUCCCCUUUGAAUAGUUUGUACAGGUGGAUUUCUGCAUAAUUUACUAGUGCAUCCUGUUCAGCAUCCCUUUCAUCACUACUCAAAAUUCCUUUUUAGAUUAACUUUAUACAACUCACAUAUUCUUUCAGUUGGAAUUUUGAAAGUAUCAUACUCAUAAAGACUUCUAUUAGUUACAGUGUGCCUUCAUAGUGUAAUAGCAGCCUACAUAUCCCUGGUCACAGCCUGGUGGAUCAUAUUUAUUUGAACAGUUGAGGAGGCCUUCAGAAGUGCGUUCCCUUCCUUCUUUCCUGUGUUUUAGCUUUGAUAUUGUCCCACUAUUAUUAUUAUUUUUUUUAAAGCAUCUUCUCUUUUGUAUGGAAUCUGAGUAAAUUCACAGUGGAAACUACCUUGUACUGAUCUUUCUGUCUCUUAGGCAGUAGGCAGAUAAGCAUUAAUCAAGAAAUAUACACAUACAUUUAUUGAAUAGAGUUUCUGGAAUCACUGUAUUAUAUCUGCCCCAGGGUAAAAAAGACAGUAAGUUGGAAAAGACUAGAUGGUUGAAAGCAAGACAGUUUUGUAACUCUACAUCCUGUCUUCUGGUGUACUCUUGACCACCGUCUUUAUGCCACUCAUACUCUUCCAGCAGUCAUGGCAACUGAUACCUUAAUUCGUUCUGUUAUUACUGACUAGUCUCUCAAAUUUUCAUAGAGGAAUCCUCCAGAUGCUGUUCUCUGUAAAUAUAUGUGAGUCAUAUUUAACAUUUUCUUAUACUUUGCUGCUCAAAUUCCUGUAAAUUCUGACAAGAAUUUUCAAUGACUGCUAAAGAUCUGUGCACAUGGUCCUUCAUUUUCACAAAGCCAAUAAAUAUCUGUAACUUGAGAGGUUAUACACCUUACUAAAAGUCAUACAGGCAGGAAAAGGGAUGACAAAUGGUAAGGUUGCGUCCACAUGACCACCUAAAAUUUGUCAUCUUCCUUUUUGCAAAAACAAACAUGACUAAAUUAAACAACAAAUUAAGAUUAUUAUGCUGACAUGCAUGGAACCUUGGAUCAUUAUUAUGAUUUUUCAUUACCCAGAAACACAUAGAAAAUGAUAAGGAAUGUAUCUGGAAUAUAGUACACACUGGUUGGGGUUGUAGCCUUCAGUCAAAUGACUCUGAAUUUUAGUUUGGCACUGCCAUUCCCUUGACUUGGAUUAUACCCACUCCUACCUUAUCUCUGGUUGUGUGGUUUCAGUGAAAUUACCAUGCAGCUGGUAGAUAACAUCUUGGAAGACAUCCUGAGAACAGUUCUCCCAACGUUGCUUGUUAACUUAAAAAAAGAGAGAGAGAGAUUAGAAAUGUCUGUAAUGAAGACUUAUUUUCUAAAACCUGACCUUAUAUCGUCCACCUUUAAAUGGAAGAGAUGUGUUUUCUCACAUCUUUUAGAUAUAAUUCACAUAGUAUAAAAAUUCGCCAUUUUAAAAAGUGUAAAAUUUGUGGUUAUAGUAUAUUCACAGAGUUGUGAAAUUGUCUUUAUAAAAUUCCAGAGCAUUUCAUCGCUGUAAAAAGUUUUCUGUACCCAUUAAGAGUGACUGCCUGUUCUUAACUCCAACCCCUGGCAACUACUCGUCUUCGUAUGCCUAUGAAUUUGCCUAUUUUGGUCAUUUCAUGUUAAUGGAGUCAUACAAUUAUGUGGCCUUUUUGUCUGUUUCGCCACCUUCCACAAAGCAAUGAGUUCAAACUGCAUCAAUGUUGUAGCAUGUACUGGUACUGUUUCUUUUGUGGCUGAAUAUUGUCAUUGUAUUGAUAUGCUGUAUUUUUUUGCUUGUCCACUUGGUUGUGCAUACAUGUGUUCUUUCUGCUUUUUGCAUAUUAUGAAUACAACUAUGAACACUUUGUGUACAUGUUUUCAUUUCUCCUACUGUCUUUUAAGUAUCUUAUGGUUUUGGUUCUUAAAUUUAGGUCUUUGAUUCAUUUUUGCAUGUGGUACAUUUUAGGGAUCCAGUUUCAUUCUCUAAUAUGUGGAUAUCUAGUAGAACAAUACCUAAUUGUUACAAAGACUAUUAGUAAUUUCCUUAUGAGUAGGCUUGCUAUCUUUGUCAAAAACACGUACAAAUGACCAUAAAUAUGGCUAAUUUUGGAUUCUUGAACUUUGUCCCAUUGUCCUAUGUGUGUCUCUUCCUAUGCCAGUACCAUACUGUCUUAAUUACUGUAGCCCUAGAGUAAGUUUUGAAUUUAGGAUGUGUUAGUUCUCUAGCUUUGUUCUACAUCAAGAUAAUUUUACCUGUUCUGGGUCCCUUGCAUUCCACAUGGAUUUUAGAAUCUAUUUGUUAAUUUCUACAUAAAAAGCACCUGUGAUUUUGAUUGUUCUUGUGUUGAAUCGAUACAUCAGAUUGACGUAUGUUGGUAUUUUAACAGUAUUAAAUUUUAUAAUCCAU